This 393-nucleotide ribosomal RNA is filed under the name uncultured bacterium. Its description in RNAcentral is "partial 16S ribosomal RNA". It matches the Rfam family "Bacterial small subunit ribosomal RNA", at positions 523 to 918 of the family's 1533-position model. The record is from RNAcentral.
AUACGGAGGAUGCGAGCGUUAUCCGGAUUUAUUGGGUUUAAAGGGUGCGUAGGCUGUGCGUUAAGUCAGGGGUGAAAUGCCGUCGCUCAACGACGGAGCUGCCCUUGAUACUGGCGUGCUGGAGUACGGAUGCCGUUGGAGGAAUGAGUGGUGUAGCGGUGAAAUGCUUAGAUAUCACUCAGAACACCGACUGCGAAGGCAUCUGACGAAUCCGUCACUGACGCUGAGGCACGAAAGCGUGGGGAUAGAACAGGAUUAGAUACCCUGGUAUUCCACGCCGUAAACGAUGAUGACUAACCGUCGGCGAUAGACAGCCGGUGGCCAAGCGAAAGCGAUAAGUCAUCCACCUGGGGUGUACGUCGGCAACGAUGAAACUCAAAUGAAUUGACGGGG